Molecule: ribosomal RNA, 465 nt
Filed under: uncultured bacterium
Lineage: Bacteria
Description: partial 16S ribosomal RNA
Rfam family: Bacterial small subunit ribosomal RNA
Source: RNAcentral
CCUACGGGAGGCAGCAGUAGGGAAUCUUCCACAAUGGGCGAAAGCCUGAUGGAGCAACGCCGCGUGGGUGAAGAAGGUCUUCGGAUCGUAAAACCCUGUUGUUAGAGAAGAAAGUGCGUGAGAGUAACUGUUCACGUUUCGACGGUAUCUAACCAGAAAGCCACGGCUAACUACGUGCCAGCAGCCGCGGUAAUACGUAGGUGGCAAGCGUUAUCCGGAUUUAUUGGGCGUAAAGGGAACGCAGGCGGUCUUUUAAGUCUGAUGUGAAAGCCUUCGGCUUAACCGGAGUAGUGCAUUGGAAACUGGGAGACUUGAGUGCAGAAGAGGAGAGUGGAACUCCAUGUGUAGCGGUGAAAUGCGUAGAUAUAUGGAAGAACACCAGUGGCGAAAGCGGCUCUCUGGACUGAAACUGACGUUGAGGCUCGAAAGCGUGGGGAGCAAACAGGAUUAGAUACCCUUGUAGUC